RNAcentral lists this ribosomal RNA (1386 nucleotides) under Salmonella enterica subsp. enterica serovar Agona. Its description in RNAcentral is "partial 23S ribosomal RNA". It matches the Rfam family "Bacterial large subunit ribosomal RNA", at positions 117 to 1547 of the family's 2925-position model. Lineage: Bacteria; Pseudomonadati; Pseudomonadota; Gammaproteobacteria; Enterobacterales; Enterobacteriaceae. The record is from RNAcentral.
AAUGGGGAAACCCAGUGUGACUCGUCACACUAUCAUUAACUGAAUCCAUAGGUUAAUGAGGCGAACCGGGGGAACUGAAACAUCUAAGUACCCCGAGGAAAAGAAAUCAACCGAGAUUCCCCCAGUAGCGGCGAGCGAACGGGGAGGAGCCCAGAGCCUGAAUCAGCAUGUGUGUUAGUGGAAGCGUCUGGAAAGGCGCGCGAUACAGGGUGACAGCCCCGUACACAAAAGCGCAUGUGCUGUGAGCUCGAUGAGUAGGGCGGGACACGUGGUAUCCUGUCUGAAUAUGGGGGGACCAUCCUCCAAGGCUAAAUACUCCUGACUGACCGAUAGUGAACCAGUACCGUGAGGGAAAGGCGAAAAGAACCCCGGCGAGGGGAGUGAAAAAGAACCUGAAACCGUGUACGUACAAGCAGUGGGAGCACCCUUUGGGGUGUGACUGCGUACCUUUUGUAUAAUGGGUCAGCGACUUAUAUUCUGUAGCAAGGUUAACCGAAUAGGGGAGCCGGAGGGAAACCGAGUCUUAAUUGGGCGUUAAGUUGCAGGGUAUAGACCCGAAACCCGGUGAUCUAGCCAUGGGCAGGUUGAAGGUUGGGUAACACUAACUGGAGGACCGAACCGACUAAUGUUGAAAAAUUAGCGGAUGACCUGUGGCUGGGGGUGAAAGGCCAAUCAAACCGGGAGAUAGCUGGUUCUCCCCGAAAGCUAUUUAGGUAGCGCCUCGUGAAUUCAUCUCCGGGGGUAGAGCACUGUUUCGGCUAGGGGGCCAUCCCGGCUUACCAACCCGAUGCAAACUGCGAAUACCGGAGAAUGUUAUCACGGGAGACACACGGCGGGUGCUAACGUCCGUCGUGAAGAGGGAAACAACCCAGACCGCCAGCUAAGGUCCCAAAGUCAUGGUUAAGUGGGAAACGAUGUGGGAAGGCCCAGACAGCCAGGAUGUUGGCUUAGAAGCAGCCAUCAUUUAAAGAAAGCGUAAUAGCUCACUGGUCGAGUCGGCCUGCGCGGAAGAUGUAACGGGGCUAAACCAUGCACCGAAGCUGCGGCAGCGACACUCAGGUGUUGUUGGGUAGGGGAGCGUUCUGUAAGCCUGCGAAGGUGGCCUGUGAGGGUUGCUGGAGGUAUCAGAAGUGCGAAUGCUGACAUAAGUAACGAUAAAGCGGGUGAAAAGCCCGCUCGCCGGAAGACCAAGGGUUCCUGUCCAACGUUAAUCGGGGCAGGGUGAGUCGACCCCUAAGGCGAGGCCGAAAGGCGUAGUCGAUGGGAAACGGGUUAAUAUUCCCGUACUUGGUGUUACUGCGAAGGGGGGACGGAGAAGGCUAUGUUGGCCGGGCGACGGUUGUCCCGGUUUAAGCGUGUAGGUGUGUGUUCCAGGUAAAUCCGGUU